GCCAGCGUAGCUCAGCAGGCAGAGCGGCGCACUCGUAAUGCGCAGGUCGGGGGUUCGAAUCCCUUCGCUGGCUCCA
RNAcentral lists this transfer RNA (76 nucleotides) under Pseudothermotoga caldifontis AZM44c09. RNAcentral describes it as "tRNA-Thr (CGT) (tRNA-Thr-CGT-1-1)". It matches the Rfam family "tRNA". From Rfam's summary of the family: Transfer RNA (tRNA) molecules are approximately 80 nucleotides in length. The record is from RNAcentral. RNAcentral also lists the same sequence under 4 other names. Lineage: Bacteria; Thermotogati; Thermotogota; Thermotogae; Thermotogales; Thermotogaceae.